This 492-nucleotide ribosomal RNA is filed under the name uncultured bacterium. RNAcentral describes it as "partial 16S ribosomal RNA". It matches the Rfam family "Bacterial small subunit ribosomal RNA", at positions 29 to 507 of the family's 1533-position model. The record is from RNAcentral.
AGUGAACGCUGGCGGUAGGCCUAACACAUGCAAGUCGAACGGCAGCACAGUAAGAGCUUGCUCUUACGGGUGGCGAGUGGCGGACGGGUGAGGAAUACAUCGGAAUCUACUUUUUCGUGGGGGAUAACGUAGGGAAACUUACGCUAAUACCGCAUACGACCUACGGGUGAAAGCAGGGGAUCUUCGGACCUUGCGCGACUGAAUGAGCCGAUGUCGGAUUAGCUAGUUGGCGGGGUAAAUGCCCACCCAGGCGACGAUCCGUAGCUGGUCUGAGAGGAUGAUCAGCCACACUGGAACUGAGACACGGUCCAGACUCCUACGGGAGGCAGCAGUGGGGAAUAUUGGACAAUGGGCGCAAGCCUGAUCCAGCCAUACCGCGUGGGUGAAGAAGGCCUUCGGGUUGUAAAGCCCUUUUGUUGGGAAAGAAAAGCAGCAGGUUAAUACCCCGCUGUUCUGACGGUACCCAAAGAAUAAGCACCGGCUAACUUCGUG